This 512-nucleotide ribosomal RNA is filed under the name uncultured Prevotellaceae bacterium. RNAcentral describes it as "partial 16S ribosomal RNA". The record is from RNAcentral. Lineage: Bacteria; Pseudomonadati; Bacteroidota; Bacteroidia; Bacteroidales; Prevotellaceae.
CACGGAAUUAGCCGGUCCUUUUUCUGACGGUACAUACAAUACGGGGUUCACGAACCCCCUUUUAUUCCCGACUAAAAGCAGUUUACAACCACGAGGGCCGUCAUCCUGCACGCUACUUGGCUGGUUCAGCCUCCCGGCCAUUGACCAAUAUUCCUCACUGCUGCCUCCCGUAGGAGUCUGGACCGUGUCUCAGUUCCAGUGUGGGGGACCUUCCUCUCAGAACCCCUACCCAUCGUAGGUUAGGUGGGCCGUUACCCCGCCUACUGCCUAAUGGGACGCAUCGCCAUCCGUUACCAAUAAAUCUUUCAUGAAUCCACCAUGCGGAAAAUUCAUCGCAUCGGGUAUUAAUCUUACUUUCGCAAGGCUAUCCCCGAGUAACGGGCAGGUUCGAUACGCGUUACGCACCCGUGCGCCGGUCGCCAUCAGGGUCAGCAAGCUGACCCCAUGAUGCCCCUCGACUUGCAUGUGUUAAGCCUGUAGCUAGCGUUCAUCCUGAGCCAGGAUCAAACUCU